This 499-nucleotide ribosomal RNA is filed under the name Salmonella enterica subsp. enterica serovar Amsterdam. Its description in RNAcentral is "partial 23S ribosomal RNA". It matches the Rfam family "Bacterial large subunit ribosomal RNA", at positions 115 to 652 of the family's 2925-position model. The record is from RNAcentral. Lineage: Bacteria; Pseudomonadati; Pseudomonadota; Gammaproteobacteria; Enterobacterales; Enterobacteriaceae.
CGAAUGGGGAAACCCAGUGUGACUCGUCACACUAUCAUUAACUGAAUCCAUAGGUUAAUGAGGCGAACCGGGGGAACUGAAACAUCUAAGUACCCCGAGGAAAAGAAAUCAACCGAGAUUCCCCCAGUAGCGGCGAGCGAACGGGGAGGAGCCCAGAGCCUGAAUCAGCAUGUGUGUUAGUGGAAGCGUCUGGAAAGGCGCGCGAUACAGGGUGACAGCCCCGUACACAAAAGCGCAUGUGCUGUGAGCUCGAUGAGUAGGGCGGGACACGUGGUAUCCUGUCUGAAUAUGGGGGGACCAUCCUCCAAGGCUAAAUACUCCUGACUGACCGAUAGUGAACCAGUACCGUGAGGGAAAGGCGAAAAGAACCCCGGCGAGGGGAGUGAAAAAGAACCUGAAACCGUGUACGUACAAGCAGUGGGAGCACAGGUUUACCUGUGUGACUGCGUACCUUUUGUAUAAUGGGUCAGCGACUUAUAUUCUGUAGCAAGGUUAACCG